AGCGAACGCUGGCGGCAUGCUUAACACAUGCAAGUCGAACGGUAACAGGCCCUUCGGGGUGCUGACGAGUGGCGGACGGGUGAGUAAUACUUAGGAAUCUACCUGGUUGUGGGGGAUAACCCGGGGAAACUCGGGCUAAUACCGCAUACGUCCCUCUGUCUUUGNGACGAAGGGGGGGGAAAGCGGGGGACCUUCGGGCCUCGCGCUAUCAGAUGAGCCUAAGUCCGAUUAGCUAGUUGGUAGGGUAAUGGCUACCAAGGCGACGAUCGGUAGCUGGUCUGAGAGGACGACCAGCCACACUGGGACUGAGACA
This 313-nucleotide ribosomal RNA is filed under the name uncultured bacterium. RNAcentral's name for it is "bacterial SSU rRNA". It matches the Rfam family "Bacterial small subunit ribosomal RNA", at positions 29 to 326 of the family's 1533-position model. The record is from RNAcentral.